CUACGGGGGGCAGCAGCUAGGAAUAUUCUACAAUGCGCGCAAGCGUGAUAGAUUGAGCCAGAGUGUUUUUCAAAUGAAAAGCUUUUGUGAAAUGUAAAAAGUUUCACGAAUAAGGACUGGGUAAGACUAGUGCCAGCCGCCGCGGUAAUACUAGCGGUCCAAGUCGCAGCCAUUUUUAUUGGGUCUAAAACAUCCGUAGCUUGCUUAAUAAGUUCCUUGUGAAAUUUUAUCUCUCAAAGAUAGAGCGUGCAAGAAAUACUGUUAAGCUAGAGACUGGAAGACGUAACGAGUACGUUCGGAGUAGCGGUAAAAUGUGUUAAUCCUGGACGGACUAACAAUAGCGAAGGCACGUUACGAGGACAGUUCUGACAGUAAGGGAUGAAGGCUAGGGGCGCAAAACGGAUUAGAUACCCCAGUAGUC
Molecule: ribosomal RNA, 421 nt
Filed under: uncultured archaeon
Lineage: Archaea
Description: partial 16S ribosomal RNA
Rfam family: Archaeal small subunit ribosomal RNA
Source: RNAcentral